CAAUAGCGUAUAUUUAAGUUGUUGCAGUUAAAAAGCUCGUAGUUGGAUUUCGGAUGGGAUCUGCCGGUCCGUCUUUGAGAUGUGUACUGGUAGGUCCUAUCUUGUUGUCGGGGACCAGCUCCUGGGCUUCACUGUCCGGGACUGGGAGCCGACGAAGUUACUUUGAGUAAAUUAGAGUGUUCAAAGCAAGCCUACGCUCUGAAUAUAUUAGCAUGGAAUAACACGAUAGGACUCUGGCUUAUCUUGUUGGUCUGUGAGACCAGAGUAAUGAUUAAGAGGGACAGUCGGGGACAUUCGUAUUUCAUUGUCAGAGGUGAAAUUCUUGGAUUUUUGGAAGACGAACUACUGCGAAAGCAUUUACCAAGGAUGUUUUCAUUAA
This 379-nucleotide ribosomal RNA is filed under the name uncultured eukaryote. Its description in RNAcentral is "partial 18S ribosomal RNA". It matches the Rfam family "Eukaryotic small subunit ribosomal RNA", at positions 592 to 976 of the family's 1831-position model. The record is from RNAcentral.